This 252-nucleotide ribosomal RNA is filed under the name uncultured bacterium. Its description in RNAcentral is "partial 16S ribosomal RNA". It matches the Rfam family "Bacterial small subunit ribosomal RNA", at positions 524 to 776 of the family's 1533-position model. The record is from RNAcentral.
UACGGAGGAUGCGAGCGUUGUCCGGAUUUAUUGGGUUUAAAGGGUGUGUAGGCGGUCCGUUAAGUCAGCGGUAAAAUUGCGGGGCUCAACCCCGUCGAGCCGUUGAAACUGGCAGACUUGAGUUGGCGAGAAGUACGCGGAAUGCGCGGUGUAGCGGUGAAAUGCAUAGAUAUCGCGCAGAACUCCGAUUGCGAAGGCAGCGUACCGGCGCCACACUGACGCUGAGGCACGAAAGCGUGGGGAUCGAACAGG